GACGAACGCUGGCGGCGUGCUUAACACAUGCAAGUCGAACGGAAAGGCCCUGCUUUUGUGGGGUGCUCGAGUGGCGAACGGGUGAGUAACACGUGAGUAACCUGCCCUUGACUUUGGGAUAACUUCAGGAAACUGGGGCUAAUACCUGAUAGGAGCUCCUGCUGCAUGGUGGGGGUUGGAAAGUUUCGGCGGUUGGGGAUGGACUCGCGGCUUAUCAGCUUGUUGGUGGGGUAGUGGCUUACCAAGGCUUUGACGGGUAGCCGGCCUGAGAGGGUGACCGGCCACAAUGGGACUGAGAUACGGCCCAGACUCCUACGGGAGGCAGCAGUGGGGAAUAUUGCACAAUGGGCGGAAGCCUGAUGCAGCAACGCCGCGUGCGGGAUGACGGCCUUCGGGUUGUAAACCGCUUUCGCCUGUGACGAAGCGUGAGUGACGGUAAUGGGUAAAGAAGCACCGGCUAACUACGUG
Molecule: ribosomal RNA, 468 nt
Filed under: uncultured bacterium
Lineage: Bacteria
Description: partial 16S ribosomal RNA
Rfam family: Bacterial small subunit ribosomal RNA
Source: RNAcentral